Molecule: unclassified non-coding RNA, 253 nt
Filed under: uncultured Rhodobacterales bacterium
Lineage: Bacteria; Pseudomonadati; Pseudomonadota; Alphaproteobacteria; Rhodobacterales
Description: contains 16S-23S intergenic spacer region
Rfam family: Bacterial small subunit ribosomal RNA
Source: RNAcentral
UACGGAGGGGGUUAGCGUUGUUCGGAAUUACUGGGCGUAACGCGCACGUAGGCGGCCUAUUAAGUAAGGGGUGUCAUCCCGGGGCUCAACCCCGGAACUGCCCUUGAUACUGGUAGUCUUGAGUUCGAGGGAGGUGAGUGGAAUUCCGAGUGUAGAGGUGAAAUUCGUAGAUAUUCGGAGGAACACCAGUGGCGAAGGCGGCUCACUGGCUCGAUACUGACGCUGAGGUGCGAAAGCGUGGGGAGCAAACAGG